GACGAACGCUGGCGGCGUGCUUAACACAUGCAAGUCGAACGGAAGGGCUCAAGCUUGUUGGCUACCUGGAUUGCGGAAGGGGGGGGAAAAACGUGGGUAUCCGCCCCGUACCCUUGGGAUAACCCUGGGAAACUGGGUCUAUAAUUGGUUAUAACCUUUUUCCUAAUGGGGUUGGGGGGAAAGUUUUUCGGUGUGGGAUGAGCCCGCGGCCUAUCGGCUUGUUGUUGGGGUGUGGCCCGACGAAGGCGACGACGGGUAGCCGGCCUGAGAGGGUGAUCGGCCACAUUGGGACUGAGAUACGGCCCAGACUCCUACGGGAGGCAGCAGUGGGGAAUAUUGCACAAUGGGCGGAAGCCUGAUGCAGCGACGCCGCGUGAGGGAUGACGGCCUUCGGGUUGUAAACCUCUUUCAGCAGGGACGAAGCGUAAGUGACGGUACCUGCAGAAGAAGCACCGGCUAACUAUGUG
This 467-nucleotide ribosomal RNA is filed under the name uncultured bacterium. Its description in RNAcentral is "partial 16S ribosomal RNA". It matches the Rfam family "Bacterial small subunit ribosomal RNA", at positions 28 to 507 of the family's 1533-position model. The record is from RNAcentral.